AGUGAACGCUGGCGGUAGGCCUAACACAUGCAAGUCGAACGGCAGCACAGUAAGAGCUUGCUCUUACGGGUGGCGAGUGGCGGACGGGUGAGGAAUACAUCGGAAUCUACUUUUUCGUGGGGGAUAACGUAGGGAAACUUACGCUAAUACCGCAUACGACCUACGGGUGAAAGCAGGGGUUCUUCGGACUUUUCCCGUUCGAUUGAGCCGGUGCCGGAUUACCUAGUUGGCGGGGUAAAGGCCCACCAAGGCGACGAUCCGUAGCUGGUCUGAGAGGAUGAUCAGCCACACUGGAACUGAGACACGGUCCAGACUCCUACGGGAGGCAGCAGUGGGGAAUAUUGGACAAUGGGCGAAAGCCUGAUCCAGCCAUACCGCGUGGGUGAAGAAGGCCUUCGGGUUGUAAAACCCUUUUGUUGGGAAAGAAAAGAAGCAGGUUAAUACCCCGCUGUUUUGACGGUACCCAAAGAAUAAGCACCGGCUAACUUCGUG
RNAcentral lists this ribosomal RNA (492 nucleotides) under uncultured bacterium. RNAcentral describes it as "partial 16S ribosomal RNA". It matches the Rfam family "Bacterial small subunit ribosomal RNA", at positions 29 to 507 of the family's 1533-position model. The record is from RNAcentral.